UCCUGAAAAGUUUCUUCAAAGAAACUCUCAAACUGCAACUGGUGCAGCUUUGCAGAGUGAAGCUCUCGCUGUACUUCAAAGCAGAGAAAAUCUUCAGCUGCCUGGAGCCCGCUUGUCCCAGGAGGUGUCACUGUUGGGACUUGAAGGGUGUGCUCAGCUCUGCUGUUUAUUUUUUAAAGGCUACAUUGACCAUGAGGUAGGAAUUGACCUGUAUUACAUCUCUUCCCUGCCCCCCGCCCUUCUGGAGAAAGAUAAUCAGAGUUCUUUAGAUUUAUGCAGUAGACAUGUUUGUCAAAGUAUUUGGCACCAGUGACAUCAUCUUUGUUGAAAUGCUGGACAGCAUGAUGAGACCCAGAUGUUACUCACCGAAAGUUGAAAAAGAAUAAAAUAUAAAGAGCAACUGUAACAGCUAUGGAGGACUCUACUCGGUUUAUAUUCUGAUGUUGAUACAUGAAGAAUAUGAUGAUUUGUCAAGGACUCCUAAAGCUGUUAAAACUU
Neopsephotus bourkii (Bourke's parrot) is the source of this 498-nucleotide long non-coding RNA. RefSeq lists it as uncharacterized. The record is from RefSeq and is a predicted model, not a curated record. The transcript has 3 exons. Lineage: Eukaryota; Metazoa; Chordata; Aves; Psittaciformes; Psittacidae.